This 331-nucleotide unclassified non-coding RNA is filed under the name uncultured fungus. Its description in RNAcentral is "sequence contains ITS2". The stretch from base 1 to 52 matches the Rfam family "5.8S ribosomal RNA", at positions 103 to 154 of the family's 154-position model. The record is from RNAcentral. Lineage: Eukaryota; Fungi.
AACGCAUCUUGCGCUCCUUGGUAUUCCGAGGAGCAUGUCUGCUUGAGUGUCAUGAAAUUCUCGACCUUCCCGGAGGGGUUUGCUCUCUCCCGGGUAACAGGUUCGGACCGUGGCCGCAUUGCCCGCCGCGCCUUUUGCGCGCGGGCUCGGCUGAAUGAGAUGAAGGCUGACUUAAGAUUUCGGAUCGGCUGGCUCGAUAUUGUACAUCUCACUUUGUCGGGUCGCCGUGUCUGGGUCUGCUGAUUUCAGUCUCCCCCUGCGUAAAGGGGAUAUCACUGUUUACAAUAUUGAUCUCGACCUCAAGUCAGGCAGGACUACCCGCUGAACUUAA